This 460-nucleotide ribosomal RNA is filed under the name uncultured bacterium. RNAcentral describes it as "partial 16S ribosomal RNA". It matches the Rfam family "Bacterial small subunit ribosomal RNA", at positions 338 to 795 of the family's 1533-position model. The record is from RNAcentral.
CCUACGGGAUGCAGCAGUGAGGAAUAUUGGUCAAUGGGCUCGAGCCUGACCCAGCCAAGUAGCGUGAAGGAUGACUGCCCUACGGGUUGUAAACUUCUUAUAUAAAGGAAUAAAGUGAGGCACGUGUGCCUUUUUGUAGGUACUUUAGGAAUAAGAAACGGCUAAAGUCGUGCCAGCAGCCGAGGUAAGACGGAGGAUCCGAGUGUUAUACGGCUUUAGUGGGUUUAAAGGGAGCGUAGAUGUGUUGUUAAGGCCGUUGUGAAAGUUUGCGGCUCAACCGUAAAAUUGCAAUUGAUACUGGCAGUCUUGAGUACAGUUGAGGUAGGCGGAAUUCGUGGUGUAGCGGUGAAAUGCUUAGAUAUCACGAAGAACUCCGAUUGCGAAGGCAGCUUACUAAACUGCCACUGACAUUGAUGCUCGAAAGUGUGGGUAUCAAACAGGAGUAGAUACCCGAGUAGUC